AGAGUUUGAUCCUGGCACAGGACGAACGCUGGCGGCGUGCUUAACACAUGCAAGUCGAGCGGAAAGGCCCCUUCGGGGGUACUCGAGCGGCGAACGGGUGAGUAACACGUGGGUAACCUGCCCCAAAGCCCGGGAUAACGUUUCGAAAGGAACGCUAAUACCGGAUGUUGUGCACCUGCCAAGCGGGUUGUACCAAAGGUAGCUUCGGCCUCCGCUUUGGGAUGGGCCCGCGCAGCAUUAGCUUGUGGUGGGGAACGGCCUACCAAGGCUACGAUGUUAGCUGGUUGAGAGGACGAUCAGCCACACUGGGACUGAGAUACGGCCCAGACUCCUACGGGAGGCAGCAGUGGGGAAUCUUGGCAAUGGGCGAAAGCCUGACGCAGCAACGCCGCGUGAGCGAAGAAGGCCUUCGGGUUGUAAAGCUCUGUCAGGAGGGACGAAGCCACUCGGGUUAGUAGCCCAGAGGGUGACGGUACCUCCAGAGGAAGGUCCGGCUAACUACGUGCCAGCAGCCGCGGUAAUACGUAGGGACCUAGCGUUGUCCGGAAUUAUUGGGCGUAAAGAGCGUGUAGGCGGCUUGCCAAGUCCGAUGUGAAAACUCGGGGCUUAACCCCGAGCCUGCAUUGG
This 627-nucleotide ribosomal RNA is filed under the name uncultured bacterium. RNAcentral's name for it is "bacterial SSU rRNA". It matches the Rfam family "Bacterial small subunit ribosomal RNA", at positions 8 to 629 of the family's 1533-position model. The record is from RNAcentral.